Molecule: ribosomal RNA, 497 nt
Filed under: uncultured bacterium
Lineage: Bacteria
Description: partial 16S ribosomal RNA
Rfam family: Bacterial small subunit ribosomal RNA
Source: RNAcentral
GAUGAACGCUGGCGGCGUGCCUAAUACAUGCAAGUCGAGCGAACAGACGAGGAGCUUGCUCCUCUGAUGUUAGCGGCGGACGGGUGAGUAACACGUGGAUAACCUACCUAUAAGACUGGGAUAACUUCGGGAAACCGGAGCUAAUACCGGAUAACAUGUUGAACCGCAUGGUUCAACAGUGAAAGACGGUCUUGCUGUCACUUAUAGAUGGAUCCGCGCCGCAUUAGCUAGUUGGUAAGGUAACGGCUUACCAAGGCAACGAUGCGUAGCCGACCUGAGAGGGUGAUCGGCCACACUGGAACUGAGACACGGUCCAGACUCCUACGGGAGGCAGCAGUAGGGAAUCUUCCGCAAAGGGCGAAAGCCUGACGGAGCAACGCCGCGUGAGUGAAGAAGGUCUUCGGGUCGUAAAACUCUGUUAUUAGGGAAGAACAAAUGUGUAAGUAACUAUGCACGUCUUGACGGUACCUAAUCAGAAAGCCACGGCUAACUACGUG